This 437-nucleotide long non-coding RNA is filed under the name Equus caballus (horse). Its description in RNAcentral is "lncRNA (ENSECAG00000055956.1)". Lineage: Eukaryota; Metazoa; Chordata; Mammalia; Perissodactyla; Equidae. The record is from RNAcentral.
UUGUGUUGGGGAAGAUCUCGGAGUGGAAGAAAGAGAAAGCCACCAGCCUGACACACCCAGAAAAGGCGAGCCUAGCCCUCUCUGGAAGACAUGGCAGCCCAGUCGACCUUUGACCUUCCCAUUUUUAAUGUGCUCAUUUUCUACAAACCUGAGGGUCCCUGAUUGAACUGUUUGUAACAUUGAAGCUCAAUUUUAAAUCAUGUUUUUUCUGAAGGAGAAAGUUCCUUCAUCAAUGAAUGAGCCUAGCUGACAACCCAGGAUCCACCUGUCACCACAGACUAUGAGUUGCAUGAGGACAGGAGCGCCAUAUUGUCUAGCUCAGCAUCUCUCCCUCUUCCUCAAAUGCAUAGAGCAGUUCUAACAUCUAAUGUGCAUCAUAAGCACUCAGAAAAUGCUCUUUUACCUAUCUUCCUUUUGGAUAUUGCUAGAGGAGAAAG